Long non-coding RNA from Erpetoichthys calabaricus (reedfish), 1041 nucleotides. RefSeq lists it as uncharacterized. The transcript is spliced from 2 exons. NCBI's taxonomy places the organism in Eukaryota, Metazoa, Chordata, Cladistia, Polypteriformes, Polypteridae. The record is from RefSeq and is a predicted model, not a curated record.
CUCCCUUCCUGCAGCCCAAAGAUGUCAAAUUAAAUGGUGAGUACAGUAUGAAAGUGUUGUUUCUAGAAUAGAAUAGAAUGCUUUUUAUUGCCACUAUACACAUGUUCAAUGAGAUUAAAAGCAGCUCCUUCAUUGCAAAAAAAAAGUUCUGUAUAGGGCUUGUAUGGUUGUAUCUUUAGCCUUAGCAUAACGCCGGAUCUGUGGCCCCGCAUCUGCUUCCUUUCCCUCCUCCGUCUGCGUCGUCUCCUAGACCCGACAACAAUCCACGGAGAGCCCGCUGGUCUCGCUAUGUUGUCUGGGAUGUUGUGCGUGUGAUGAAAAACACUCGAAACAGAUGUCUGGCUCUGGACACCAAUGUCUGUAAGGUUCUGACGGGUGUAGCGGAUGUUCGCCGAACCGAUCGUGCACAAACAAGCAAAAAAAAAAAAAAAGGACAAAAUCAACAAAAAAGUGCACUGAAAAGGAAAGCCCUGAGCCGCUGCGACCAUGCGCACCACCAUGCUUCUAGCUUAAUCUAGCCUACUUCUGGUAGGCUAGGCAGUUUUUAUAGCUUUUUGGUUAGUACAUUAGAAAAAUUAUUGGUGUUUUGGUAAAUUAUGCACAUUAUACAACCCUUUUUAAGUAAGUGUUGCAGUAGGAGGUUCGGAACGCAUUAUGGGUUAGCCUUCGCGAACAAAUUAAGUUCUUAAGUCAAGGGUCCACUGUAUUGCGUAUUUCAGUUAAUCAAAUUUAUAACGAGUCUCCGGAAAUCCACCCGCCGAUGUACCGUAUAUAGUUUCAACACAAAGGUUUCAUUUUAACAAACUUCUCCGCUCAAUCACUUCCUGGUUUCCAUCAAAAAUGCCGGCAGUCUCAAAUUCUCGCUGAUAAACAUGAUAAAUAUACCUGAAGAGACACUUUUAAGGAAGUUUAGAAAAUUUUGCUUGGAGAAGGGGGUCGGCUUAAAUACCGGUCAUCGGCAAAUACAUGUAAUUUAGUAGGUAGAGAAGGGGGUCGGCUAAUAUACCGAGUCGGCUUAUAUUCCGGGAUCUACGGUAUAUA